UGUGGGAGCGGGCUUGCCCGCGAUGGCGGUGGAUCCGUCAGAUGUAUCUAACCUGGCCCUCGGCUAUCGCGGGCAAGCCCGCUCCCACA
Molecule: unclassified non-coding RNA, 89 nt
Filed under: Pseudomonas gessardii
Lineage: Bacteria; Pseudomonadati; Pseudomonadota; Gammaproteobacteria; Pseudomonadales; Pseudomonadaceae
Source: RNAcentral